Molecule: ribosomal RNA, 326 nt
Filed under: uncultured eukaryote
Lineage: Eukaryota
Description: partial 18S ribosomal RNA
Rfam family: Eukaryotic small subunit ribosomal RNA
Source: RNAcentral
CCCUUAGAUGUUCUGGGCCGCACGCGCGCUACACUGAUGCAUUCAACGAGCCUAGCCUUGACCGAGAGGUCCGGGUAAUCUUUGAAACUGCAUCGUGAUGGGGCUAGAUUAUUGCAAUUAUUAAUCUUCAACGAGGAAUGCCUAGUAAGCGUGAUUCAUCAAAUCGCGUUGAUUACGUCCCUGCCCUUUGUACACACCGCCCGUCGCUCCUACCGAUUGAGUGUGUUGGUGAGGAGUUCGGAUUGGCUCUUAGUGGCGGUUCGCCACCACCUAGAGCUGAGAAGUUCUCCAAACCGCCCCACUUAGAGGAAGGAGAAGUCGUAACA